Molecule: ribosomal RNA, 241 nt
Filed under: uncultured bacterium
Lineage: Bacteria
Description: partial 16S ribosomal RNA
Rfam family: Bacterial small subunit ribosomal RNA
Source: RNAcentral
AAUCAACGCUGGCGGCGUGCCUAACACAUGCAAGUCGAACGCGAGAGGGGCUUCGGCCCCGAUUGAGUGGCGAACGGGUGAGUAACGCGUGGGUGACCUACCUUCGAGUGGGGAGUAACGUCCCGAACGGGACGCUAAUACCGCAUAACAUCCUGCUUUUGUAAUGGGUGGAGAUCAAAGCCGGGGAUCNCAAGACCUGGCGCUUGAUGAGGGGCCCGCGUCUGAUUAGCUAGUUGGGAGG